UGUUGUUUAUUCAUACAUCUAUGCUACAUGUGCAGUGUGUAGCAUAAGAAACCUGUACUACAUCCAACAAGAUCACAAAACAGUCAGGUCAUAGCCAUGUCUACCAUACUAAAUCCUGCUGCAUUUAACAAUCAGGAAAUGUAUUUUAUAUAGACAAAAAAUGGAUAAUAUCAAAUUCUCCUACCUUGCGUGAUGCUCAGAUCAAACUCGAUAUUCAAAAUGAUUAGAAUACAGGAUUUAUUUUAAUUGCCCAUAUAUAAUUUUAUUAUUAAAAUUAUAUAUAUCUAGUAUGACAUAUACAACAUUUUUUUGCACUAAAUCAACCAAGAAAUAUAUAUAAUAACUGAACUAGAUGACUUUGCAUAUAGUUGAGCGGUUCUGAGUGAUAGCCAUAGAUGCAAUUUACUCUACUGUCUAUUUUUGUCUUCCUAUUUAUUUUUGUGUUUGCCUAAGAAGUCCUUCUUUGAUAGUCUGAAUGACUUGUAUCUCUUUGAAAUUAUGUUGUAUUCCUGUUGUAUUAAGGUGUGUGUGUGUGUGUGUGUAUGUAUGUGUGUCUGUGUGUGUGUGUGUGUAAGGAUGGAAGAGAGGAAAGAGAAAGAUGAGAAUGUCUUGGAUUAAUUUUUCUCUUGGAACUGGCCCUGUAUCCUGGUUAGCCAUAGGCAGAAGACUGAAGCUGGACCCAUACUUUUUUACCAUAUGCAAAAAUUAACUCAAAAUGAAUGAAACAUUUGAAUGUAAGACCUUAAACUAUGAAAAUUCUAGAAGACAAUCUAUUGACAAAUGGGAUCACACCAAGUUUAAAAGCUCUGAAUAGCAAAAGAAACAAUAAAUAAACUGUAGAAACAACCCACAGAAUGGGAGAAAAUAUUUAAGUAUAUAUUUUAUAACAGAAAUUAUAAGAUGCAUUAUAGAUAUAAAUCAUAUUACUUUCAAACAUACACUGCCUUAUACAAAAAUUAACUCAAGAUGGAUUAAAGAUUUAAAUGUAAGACAUAAAAUUUCAUUAACUAUGUAAUAUGUCAGAAGUUACUAACAUCUCUGAAUUUUCCUAUAUGUAAAAUGGGAAUAAUGAUAGCACCUCCAUCAUAAGAUUCUUUGUGAGAAUUAAAUAAAAUAAUCUCUGGAAAAAUUUGAGAUAUUCAGGUUGACUGCUGAGCAAUUUAUCAAAAUAUAUAAUCUUGGAAAGAUGAUAAAUUUCAUGGGGCAGUAAAGGUACUAAUGGAGGAAAAAGUAUACUAUUUUGAAAAAAUGAGUAUUUUAGAAUGUGCCAAGGAGAUACAAGUGGUGAUAUGAAGUAAGAAGUUUGAUAUAAAAACAUAGAGUUCAUAAGACAUUUAAACUCAAAAAUGAAAAUGGGUUGGCAUCCAUCAGCACAGAGGUGGUAUUAUACAUACUGCGUGGGACUGAAUGAGAUUAUCUCAGAAAAUAAAUUAAAUCUUCUUUUAAUUAAAGAAGAGAAAUGCUUUCAGGAUAGAUACCUGAUGUACUUUAGUGUUUGAGGUUGAGCAGAAGAAAAGUUGUUAGCUGAGAAGACUCCAAAGUAGCAACAAGAGAAAUAAAGAGAACAACAAGAGAAUGUUACAGAAACUGCAUCAUACAGAAUUUAGUUGCAGAUAAGAGAAACUUAUCUACCAGUUUUAAGAAUAAGGAAUAUAGACACAGCAAAUUAGAUGCUUACAAAUUUGGUGGUUGGGCUGGUUCCAUAAAAUUUACUCCUAGGACAAGGUAACUCAGGUUGCCUAUCAAGGGAAUAGUUUCGCAUGUUACAGUCGUACAUCUGAUGAAAAAUAUUGGCAUUGUCUCAAGUGCUGGCUACAGGAUCACACUUCCCUGGCCUCAAUGUAAAGACAAGAAGCCACCACCAGAUUGAUUGGCUUUAUAAUCAUGCUACACAAACAAAAAUAAUGUUUCAAUCUCUAUACUUUGCCAUGGUCAUUACUAAAAUCCCUGCAUAUGUAAUUUUCAAAUAAUAAAUCAUAUAUGAAAUGUUGGAACACAUAUUAAAAGAGUCAGUUUACCAUACGGACCAAAAGGUAUGCAAGGGGAGGGAGGUAUUUCAAGAAGGAGCAGUUAUUUGUGUGCAAGGGUACUGGUGAGGCAUGUAAAGGAUGACAGAAAAAAAAUUAAAUUUGGCGCUAAGAGAUAUCCUUGCUGACCUCAACAUAGUAGCAGAGAGGUGAAAACUUGAGGGAGGUAGAGUAGGUUGAAGAGUGAAAAAGUAGCAAGGAAAUGGAGAAAAGAAAGAGAAAUAACUCAUUUUUGGAGUGCUUUUGUGAAAAGAAGCAGAGAAAUGGAGCCAUGGUUGGGUGUGAACGGAGGGGUCAACAGAUUUUUUUUUUUCUUUUUCUUUUUUUUUUUUUAGAGACGGAGUCUCGCUGUUUUGCCCAGGCCGGACUGCAGUGGCGCUAUCUCGGCUCACUGCAAGCUCCGCCUCCCGGGUUCAUGCCAUUCUCCUGCCUCAGCCUCCCAAGUAGCUGGGAUUACAGGUGCCUGCCACCACGCCCAGCUAAUUUUUUGUAUUUUCAGUACAGACGGGGUUUCACCGUGUCAGCCAAGAUAGUCUCGAUCUCCUCACCUCGUGAUCCGCCCCCCUUGGCCUCCCAAAGUGCUGAGAUUACAGGCGUGAGCCACCGCGCCAGGCCAGAAUUUUUUUUUAUUUUAUUGGCUUUAAAUGGCACGUAUUGACAAGCUGAUGGGGAUAAUUCAGUAGAAAUGGAGACUAACGUUUCAGAGAAAUAAGGGAUAGUUGCAAGAUAAAAUACUUAAGAAUAUUACAACCCAAAUUAAGGUGUUCUCAGAUAGAGAGAGUGAAGGGAGAGAGGAAAAAAAGGGAGUCCAGGAGAUUGUUUGCAAAAAACUGGAUAAAUAAUGGGUUGUGAGCCUAAGUGUGUACAAAGAGAAAUGAAGAUAGCAUAUGGAGGCUGGACAGUGGAAAAGUUUGAUGGAUUGACAGGUUGGAGGUCUACAUUAGGUAAAAAAUAGUUUGUAGUGGACCAAUUAGAGUCAAGGGCAAAUGGAAGGGGUCAGACUGAUAUAGUUAUGGUUCUGGAUAUGAACAGGUCUAGGAUGUAAUUAUCAGAAUGUUAAAUAGAGGAGAUUUUUUAAAAGUUUGUUGGAAGUGAGGAAGUCAAGAAACAGAACUGGGGGUGAUGGAUGGGUCUUCUUGGCUAUAUCACGGAUAAUAACAGUAGCACUAAUUGAGAGUAAAAUCCUGAGCAAGGAAACUAUUCAUUCAGUCAGUGAAACAAGGUGACUUUAAGAUCUAGAAGUACAAUGGCAAUAAUUUAGCAGUACUAUAUGGGAGUCAAAUAAGCUAUGGUUUAGAAUGAGGAAAGAAAAAACACACAUAUGCUGAUUUUAGAAUUGUCAUAUGGACUAAACGUGAUAAUUGUUAUAAAGCACUAUAACCAAACUCACGCACGUAAACACAUACACAACACACACAGACACACACACACACACACACCAUGGAAGUAUUAGGUCACUAAAAAAUCUCACAACGUGACAUACAUACAAAAAGUUUUUAGAGCAAGUGAAAUUUUAGCUGCUAUAUGUUAAUUGGUGGUAAUCCCAGCAAUAAAGACAAGGUAAUCAGAAAAACUUUCUUCAAAAAUUCUGCACAUUCAUUGACAUGCUGUUCCUUCUGCAAUGAAUUCUUGAUGAUAUUGAGUGUCUUACUAAUAUCUAUAUUCCACACAACUGGCAUGAACUCAGGCACACUGAAUCAAUAUUUAUUGA
RNAcentral lists this long non-coding RNA (3738 nucleotides) under Homo sapiens (human). RNAcentral's name for it is "non-protein coding lnc-GRIN3A-3:1". The record is from RNAcentral. Lineage: Eukaryota; Metazoa; Chordata; Mammalia; Primates; Hominidae.